UGAGGAAUUUUGCGCAAUGGCCGCAAGGCUGACGCAGCAACGCCGCGUGGGUGAUGAAGGCCUUCGGGUCGUAAAGCCCUGUCAGGUGGGAAGAAAGGUCUUGAGAAGCAACGCUUGAGAUUUGACGGUACCACCAGAGGAAGCACCGGCUAACUCCGUGCCAGCAGCCGCGGUAAUACGGAGGGUGCAAGCGUUAUUCGGAAUUACUGGGCGUAAAGCGCGUGUAGGCGGGGAUGCAAGUCUGAUGUGAAAGCCCUGGGCUUAACCUGGGAAGUGCAUUGGAAACUGCAUUUCUUGAGUACUGGAGAGGAAGGGGGAAUUCCCGGUGUAGAGGUGAAAUUCGUAGAGAUCGGGAGGAAUACCAGUGGCGUAGGCGCCCUUCUGGACGGUUACUGACGCUGAGACGCGAAAGCGUGGGGAGCAAACA
This 427-nucleotide ribosomal RNA is filed under the name uncultured prokaryote. Its description in RNAcentral is "bacterial SSU rRNA". It matches the Rfam family "Bacterial small subunit ribosomal RNA", at positions 355 to 774 of the family's 1533-position model. The record is from RNAcentral.